UCGCCUGUUUAUCAAAAACAUGGCUUCUUGUUUUUUGAAUAUGAGAGGUCUGGCCUGCCCGGUGGAUUAUUUCUAAACGGUCGCAGCUGCCACUGUGCGAAGGUAGCGUAAUAGGUCGUCCUUUAAUUGGGGGAGAGUAUGAAUGGUCGGAUGUUGGAAGGUCUUUAUUAAGAGUAUGUUUUGAAAUUUACUUUUUGGUGAAAAGGCUAAAAUUUGUUUAUUAGACGAGAAGACCCUAUUGAGCUUGGUAGGAAUGGUUAUAAUAUCUAAUCAUAGUUAUGUUUGUUCGGGGUUGAACGGAAGGGGAAAUGAUGCCUUCUAUGAUAAAAUUUGGAUCCAGCAUGGCUGAAAAGUAGAAGAUAGUUACCAUAGGGAUAACAGCGCAAUCUCCUUGGUAAGGCCAUAUUUAAGGGGUGGUUUGCGACCUCGAUGUUGAAUCAGAAUUUCUACUAGGUGUAGCAGCUUAGAAAGUGGGACUGUUCGUCCUUUAAAAUUCUACGUGAUCUGAGUUCAGACCGGA
Molecule: ribosomal RNA, 520 nt
Filed under: Cadella narutoensis
Lineage: Eukaryota; Metazoa; Mollusca; Bivalvia; Cardiida; Tellinidae
Description: partial 16S ribosomal RNA
Rfam family: Bacterial large subunit ribosomal RNA
Source: RNAcentral